AUUGAACGCUGGCGGCAUGCCUUACACAUGCAAGUCGAACGGCAGCACGGGUGCUUGCACCUGGUGGCGAGUGGCGAACGGGUGAGUAAUACAUCGGAACGUACCUUAUCGUGGGGGAUAACGCAGCGAAAGCUGUGCUAAUACCGCACACGCCCUGAGGGGGAAAGCGGGGGAUCGAAAGACCUCGCGCGAUUAGAGCGGCCGAUGCCUGAUUAGCUUGUUGGUGGGGUAAAAGCCCACCAAGGCGACGAUCAGUAGCUGGUCUGAGAGGAUGAUCCGCCACACUGGGACUGAGACACGGACCAGACUCCUACGGGAGGCAGCAGUGGGGAAUUUUGGACAAUGGGGGCAACCCUGAUCCAGCCAUGCCGCGUGAGUGAAGAAGGCCUUCGGGUUGUAAAGCUCUUUCGGCCGGGAAAAAAUCGCCUCUCCUAAUACGGGGGGUGGAUGAUGGUACCGGGCUAAGAAGCACCGGCUAACUACGUGCCAGCCGCCGCCGUAA
RNAcentral lists this ribosomal RNA (502 nucleotides) under uncultured bacterium. RNAcentral's name for it is "partial 16S ribosomal RNA". It matches the Rfam family "Bacterial small subunit ribosomal RNA", at positions 29 to 523 of the family's 1533-position model. The record is from RNAcentral.